CGAGCGGUAAGGCCUUUCGGGGUACACGAGCGGCGAACGGGUGAGUAACACGUGGGUGAUCUGCCCUGCACUCUGGGAUAAGCUUGGGAAACUGGGUCUAAUACCGGAUAUGACUGCAUGGCGCAUGGGGUGUGGUGGAAAGAUUUAUCGGUGCAGGAUGGGCCCGCGGCCUAUCAGCUUGUUGGUGGGGUAAUGGCCUACCAAGGCGACGACGGGUAGCCGACCUGAGAGGGUGACCGGCCACACUGGGACUGAGACACGGCCCAGACUCCUACGGGAGGCAGCAGUGGGGAAUAUUGCACAAUGGGCGGAAGCCUGAUGCAGCGACGCCGCGUGAGGGAUGAAGGCCUUCGGGUUGUAAACCUCUUUCAGCAGGGACGAAGCGUGAGUGACGGUACCUGCAGAAGAAGCACCGGCUAACUACGUGCCAGCAGCCGCGGUAAUACGUAGGGUGCGAGCGUUGUCCGGAAUUACUGGGCGUAAAGAGUUCGUAGGCGGUUUGUCGCGUCGUUUGUGAAAACCCGGGGCUCAACUUCGGGCUUGCAGGCGAUACGGGCAGACUUGAGUGUUUCAGGGGAGACUGGAAUUCCUGGUGUAGCGGUGAAAUGCGCAGAUAUCAGGAGGAACACCGGUGGCGAAGGCGGGUCUCUGGGAAACAACUGACGCUGAGGAACGAAAGCGUGGGUAGCAAACAGGAUUAGAUACCCUGGUAGUCCACGCCGUAAACGGUGGGCGCUAGGUGUGGGUUCCUUCCACGGGAUCUGUGC
This 767-nucleotide ribosomal RNA is filed under the name Rhodococcus sp. (in: high G+C Gram-positive bacteria). RNAcentral describes it as "bacterial SSU rRNA". It matches the Rfam family "Bacterial small subunit ribosomal RNA", at positions 63 to 846 of the family's 1533-position model. Lineage: Bacteria; Bacillati; Actinomycetota; Actinomycetes; Mycobacteriales; Nocardiaceae. The record is from RNAcentral.